GACAGAGGGGGCAAGCGUUGCUCGGAAUUACUGGGCGUAAAGGGCGCGUAGGCGGGAUGGCAAGUCGGUCGUGAAAUCCUCCGGCUCAACCGAAGAACGUCGAUCGAUACUGCUGUUCUUGAGGGUUGCAGAGGAGACUGGAAUUCCCGGUGUAGCGGUGAAAUGUGUAGAGAUCGGGAGGAACACCGGUGGCGAAGGCGGGUCUCUGGGCAAUUCCUGACGCUGAGGCGCGAAAGCGUGGGGAGCAAACGGG
This 253-nucleotide ribosomal RNA is filed under the name uncultured bacterium. RNAcentral describes it as "partial 16S ribosomal RNA". It matches the Rfam family "Bacterial small subunit ribosomal RNA", at positions 524 to 776 of the family's 1533-position model. The record is from RNAcentral.